This is a long non-coding RNA of Limanda limanda (common dab), 595 nucleotides long. RefSeq lists it as uncharacterized. The transcript has 4 exons. The record is from RefSeq and is a predicted model, not a curated record. Lineage: Eukaryota; Metazoa; Chordata; Actinopteri; Pleuronectiformes; Pleuronectidae.
UCUGUUUUCGGGGUAAAUAACUUGCUGAAGUCGACACGACGCUUUUCCCUGGAGGAGAAGAUGAGUGCGUGUGGAAGCAGAGCCGCGGGCCCGGUGUGGACGAGUCGAGGCGGAGAAGACGGAUGCACAGUCCCUGAGUUACGCCUCAGCCCCCCCCCCCCCCACACACACACACAAACAAAGAGGCGUUAGGCUGAGACGCUGAAAGUCCGGAUUUAAAGUGCAGAAAAUUAAGCCAUUGAAUCUGCCUGUCCAUGACGUACAAAGACACACUAUGAGCCAGUAUGAUCCGACCAGACCUUACAUCAGCAUUGAGGAGUUGUCGGAGAAGAAAGAGGCUGAUUGAAGCGGGACAGAUGACAUGGAUCCAUCCUUCCACAGCCAGGAGCGCACCGACCUGUGUGCCACACUUCAUUAAGACUGGAAGCUACACUGAUCUCACAGCUACACACCACAGACGUCUACACACUGGAGAAGAUUCAGACAGAGUCCCACAAAGAAGUCAUGACCCAGAGGCUGCAGAGAAACAUUUCAAGCCUCAUCUGAGUUUUUGUACAAUAUUUUUGCUGUAUGUAAAUAAAGCUUUCACUCCACA